CCAAACCGUUCUAUGAUUCUAUAUCCAUCUAUAGUAAAAUAUCUCUAGAUGCAUGCAUUGCACCUCUCUUUUCAGCAUCCUUUUGCAAAGCAGGCUGCAGGUCACUCAAAAAAUGAUGUAGGGAGUGAAGCAAAGGACAAGCAAUGUCCCAGCUUGUUACAUUUUAUUUUAUUAUUACAUGACUUUCUCCAGUUCAGUUGCUGCCAGACUGAGGCAGUCAGUGGUAGUGCACUGCUGGCAUGGGCCUUGGUGCAAAAAAUAAAACUGAGGGCAUGGGUGAGAAUGCCCUUUCCAUCCAACUUGCCUACCUGGCCCUGUGUUUACACUAGCCCAGUGCAUGGGUUCUUCUGGCCUUUGAGACUGAUGACAGCUACAAUAUGGGCAGGAAUACAGCCACCAGAAUUAUGGGCUACACAUCUCCUUCCAAAUAGCCAUGGAUCAAGCAUGCUAGAGAAGCACACCAUAGCUAUCUGUGUUCCCAUGGAGAGGUGUAGCAGGGAGCACAUCAGAACCUGCAACCUUUCCUGUUUCGCAUCAGCAUUACUGGCAGUUAGCCUCGCUGUACCGAAGCGCCCCCAGGAAGAGCAGGUCACCCACUCUGCCAGUAGGCUGGACUGUGGCACGUUCUCCCCUCCCAGAAUGUCCCAAUAACAUAAAUUACAACCUUUACCACACCUGGUACUGGCCUGAACUUUCUGGGAUGUGAAAGGGUUAUGAAGGGAUGGCAUGCAAUCCUGGCAGCAACAGUGAAGUGUUUUCCAGGUGGCUUCAGUGCCCACGUCUUCUAUGUCCUCUUUUAGUGACUUGCAGAGUAAUGGUUUUCCUUCUCAUCCCAUGGAGGGUGAAGGGAAGUAAAAGCUCCUUCACAUUCUGCUUUGAGCUUACUAAUGCAAUUUAAUCUAAUCUAAUCUAAUAUGCAAUGAAACCUACCAAGAAAAAUGAAAUAUAACAAAAUAUAUACUAAAAUACAACUGAGUUCCACACUCACCUAUCAGGAGCUUUCUUGAUCGAUCAGAUGUUUUUUUCUCUAAAGCCGAAAAGACUAUGAAAAGUUGACUUUUUUUCCUCCAGGGGUGCAAUAAUUUGAUUAAUCUUUAUAUAAAUUUGAGUAAUUGACAAAUACUCUAAAUUUGACCAGAAUUUUAUCAAUAAGCCUCCUAUUCAGGAGAGAAAGUUUUCUGUGGGUAGCAAUUUGUAUUUUUCAAAUGGCUGGAAAAUAUAAUGAAGAGCAGAGGGAAGGCUACAUUGACAAGGAGCUGCAGAAGCAGAGAGAUGUAGGAAGGAAAAAAAAAUGGAAAGGCAGUGAUGGGGCUUGAAGAAGAUGCCAUAUUGGUGAGGCCUUGACAAGACAGUCAAGAAGCAGAGGAAACCUGUGACCACUGAGAGCAGUGCCUGCAGCUCACAGCCACUCUCUGAUGCAAUAAUCUGUUAUCUUAAAGCUUCUGCCGUAGGACACCGGCAGAAGGCAGUGCAGAUCACAUCAACUGUGGGCUUUUUUUUGCUGCUACUCUCUGGUAGCCAUCUUACUGCAGUUUUAGGUGUGAAGGUGUGGCCUCCCCUUAAAUCCUUCUCAGAAUGUAGCCCAGAGUGGAAGGGAGAUAAAGUUUUACGGAAAAUGGUUAAAGCACAACAAUCUGUUCAUUAUGGAUGAUUAGCUAUUUUUUCCUCUUCCUCUCAUUGUUAUAGGUCUCUUUCUCCAUUCUACAGCUGAUCAGAACAUCACAGUGAUGUUCUCUUCUGGGUCUGGAGUGGAAAUAAGGGGAAGUGGAGGAUUUCUGACCCUGACAGUUCUGCUCCCAGAGAAGUUUAUGAAUCACACAGAGGGUCUCUUUGUGGUAAUGAAUGGCAACACAGACGGUGAGUAUACCUUCAAGAAUAAACCCACCAUGUCAGUUCAUGCAAGUCUCCAGCAGUUGUUUGAGUUUGGAGCUAACUGUAAGUAAUUUCUCUGAUUUAUUAUUACAUUUUCUUUACAAAUUCAGAACAGCUUGUGAUUUACAGACUAGCAAAUGAAGUCUGUGCUAAGCAACCUGUACUAGGGGAAGAGAAGGGAGUAAGAAAAGUAUACCCUCCUCUACUCAAGUGGGUACCUAGUCGAUUGAAGGCAGAACCAUGAUGGAGCGUCCUGCACUUUGUUCCAUCAGAGUCAGAGCUCCUAUUCCACAGCUUACAUUUUCAGAAUUUUAUCUACUAUGGUCAGCUGAACACAGCAUCACCAGACUACAGUGUUACAGAAGUAUAGCAAUAGCCAGGGCCAGCUAUCUUUUUUCCAGAAUAUUAGCAAUGUUUCCUUCAAAUACCAUGGUAGCAAUUUAAAAAUUUUUUCAUUAAAUCACAAUUUAAUAAUUGUCCUUUUAAAAAAAUGACUCUCUGUGUGUGUGUGUGGCUGUGUGUAAAAGAACAGCUGCUUUCAUUUAAUGAAAGUGAUUAGGCUGCUGUAUCUAGCCUACAGCAUUACACUGGUCAGCGUUCCUCCUGACAUCAGGUUUAGGAGAUGGGCCAGAAACACAAAGCAAAAUACCCACCAGCUACCAGCCGAUCUCUUUAUCUAGCACAGUGUAGCUGUACCCCAGGAUUCAGAUCAUACUGAAAAGUCUCACUGCUCCUACUUCAGCAAGUUUGCGAUUUAGCGGAGUGAAAACAAAAAGCAGGACCAGGCAGACAUGAUAAAUUUAGGGACACAAAGGAUUAGGAUUUGGGUUGCUUGUAAUAUUUGAUUUAGCUAGCUCCCUCUGAGGUACUUUUUUAUCACCAUUUUGCCAGCAAGCAUCUAAAACCAUCUUUAUGUGAAAUCAUAGCUACAUAAUUACUUGGACCUGAUUUUAAGUAAUUGAUCAAACACUAACUUUAAUGCUAAGUUUAAAUGCUGCAUAUGAAAAGGAAAACAAUCACCAGCUGGAGGCAACCUGUAGGGCUUCAUAGAUCUCUUCCAGCUCUAUCUGUGUUUACACAACAAAGCACUCAGAUAAGCAGCAGAAGGUGGUACAGGUCUGUAGGCAAUGUUACAUAUGCAUCUCUCUCCUUCUCCAUCUCCCAAAUGACUGUUGAAAAUGGAACUUCUCUCUUUACUUACGACACAGAGUUCUUACUGAACAAUUUCUUCUAUGGGGAAAAGCACAGUGCUUCCUUUCUACCUGUAUUCUUCCCUUAUAAAGACCCUGAUGAUCCCCUGCUGAAAGAGAUGGUCUUGCUAUGUGACUCUGACCGAUGUCCUGACAACAAGAAGCCUUGAAGAGGGAAGUUCCACAAGACUCUCUCAUCAGAUUCACAAGCUGCCAGUAGAGAAUGUAGAGACAGGUGAUACAACUUUCCCACAAAGCAUCCAACGCUACAGUUCUAUUCUUUCUACCAGGCACCUAAAUAGUUAACACUGUUUGAGGAGGCUUUGGUCAAUUGUAGGUUCAUGCAUCUGUAAACACUCUCAUUGGAGGGAAUUGCCCUUAUACCAGGAAACCUUUGCACAAAAUACAUUUCUUUCCAUUUCUUCCACUACUAAACCACUGUGUAUCUUCAUUUUCUAUGCUUCAUUGGUCUUACUCAGACUUAAAAAAGAAAAUAAGUCAGGAGGUAUUGUCUUUCAGUUAGCCUAAAAACCUUCUUCUUUCCAUGAGCUGCCACUAAAAUGCCAUAUGAAUUACUGUGAUGGAGAUUUGCUAAUCAAAAUCCAAAAUACUUUAACCAGAUACGUCUCCUUUACUAGUGAUCUCUCAUGGCUGGCUAGAUCAUCCAAACAAUGUAAGAAAGAAUGGAACUACCUGCUGGGCUCAACCAUCAGUUUCAUCUACAAUGAGGGCUAUGAACUCACUGGGUCAAAUGAAAGAAUCUGCCAAGUGACAGGGGCAUGGUCUGGAGACACACUGAGCGGCACCCUGAGAACAGACGAGGAUACCAAAAAACAUUAGGCCUUCUUAUUAUGGAAUCAUUGUCUGCCUAUCGUUUUCAGGAGACUAGCUGCAAAACUAGCUUGCAAAAUCAAGAAAUACAAGCUGCGAUUUUAAAUUGAAUACAAGGAUUUCACAAUAGAGACAAAUCACCAUUGGACCAAACUAUGAAGCCAGUGGUGGGUUCUCAUCACUCAGCAGAGAUGGAGUACCUGCAUGUAAGGUGUGUGUAAGCCAAACAUAAGAUUUUGAGCCUUGUACAGAAGUUACUGGAUGAAGGACCAAAGCCUGUGAAACAGUUCAUGUAUCCCGCUUCUUUCCUUAAACUAGGGUAUAAAUCAAAUUAGAAACCAAAUUUUCUAUUCUAGGAUCACAGAAGUGUCUGUCACAUCACUCUGCCAUCACUGUGUGCCAGGCUGUACUUUGGGCAGUUCUUCCUGCAGGCAUGACAAAGCAAUGCAAGGAAGGGCUGGCAAAAACGCAGCCCAGAUGCAUUAAAGCUCAGAUGCACCACUGUUGGCCUAUCUCUGAUUAGGCUGCAUGCUCCCUGAUACAUACCGAUACUGCUAUCACUAGGUACAGAAAAAGGGCAGAGCCUUGAAUCUACUUUGACCGUAGGAUACUACAGUGUCUCAGAGCCAUGGAAUUACACUUCUGUCUGACUCUGUGACACUGAGCCGGGGACAAAGAUUGCUGACACAAGGACUUAAAAUUUUUCAAUGGUGCUACUCCAGCAGGUAUUUCCUUAAAGGAUACAAAAUUCAGGAAGCAUUGUUUCUCCCAGAAAGUUCACUCGAGACGCUGCAUCUCCUAAACUUUUACCAAUCCUCUCAUGUGUCAUGAAAAAUUUACUUGCCUACCUUUACCCUCCGUUGUUCACCACAGCCAUACAGCAUCUUGCUAGCACCAUCCUACAUCAGUAAGACAGUGACAGAACCGGUAUUAUGCAUGUAUUUAGUAGAAUAAGAAAACAAGAGGAGAUCUAUUAUUCAAAAUUUGCUUCCUAUCUGGCUUCUUUCUGUCUUUCAUGUGUCCUCAUUAUGCAGUCACAGAAAGAAAAUGACACUUUUAGCAUGUUCAUCCUGUACUCACGUCAGAACAGUCACUUCUGGCUCUCUUUUACAUAGACCAUUAAGCAGCAGAGGCAGUUUCAAAAUUAUAAUUCCAAAAUAGGGGCAAUUUUUAAAGCAAUCAAACUGUAUGGAGAAAGGAUCAAAAAAGAUCUCCUCUCACUCAUCUCUUCUGCAGGCUAAACAGGUCCAACUGUCUCAGCCUUUCCUCAUAAGAGAAAAGCUGCAGUCCCCUAAUCAUCAUCAUAACCCUUCACUGGACCCUCUCCAGUAGUUUCUUGUCUUUCUUGAUCUGGGGAGUCCAGAACUGGACAGAGUGCUCCAGAUGGAGCCUCACCAGCACAGAGUAGAGAGGGAGGAUCACCGCCCUUGACCUGCUGGCCACACUCUUCCUGAUGCACCGUAGGAUACCAUUUGCCUUCCUGGCCACAAGGGCACACUACUGCUGGCUCACGGGUUAACUUGCUGUCCACCAGGACUCCCAGGUCCUUCUCCGCAGAGCUGCUUUCCAGCAGGUCAGCCCCUAACUUGUGCUGCUGCAUGGGGUUGUUCCUCCUCAAGUGCAGGACCUUGCACUUACCUUUGUUGAAUUUCACUGGGCUCCUCUCCACCAAACUCUCCAGCCUGUCCAGGCCUCACCAAAUGGCAGCACAGCCUCUGGUCUAUCAGCUACUCCUCCCAGCUUUGUAUCACCAGCAAACUUGCUGUGGGUACGCUCUGGCUCUUCACCUGGGUUAUUGAUCAAUAAGUUGAAUAAGACUGCACCCACUACUGACCUCUGGGGAACACCACUAGCUGCAGGCCCACAUUCGUGGCGUGGACUACAAAUUAACCGCUAGCCAUCCUUCCUUUGUGUUCGAACAGCUUCUGCAGCCACUUGCUGUAACUGUCAAAUGUAGGAAUUACGUAUUUCUACUCUACCAGUUUGUUCCACAAAUACAAAGAACAGUAAAAUUAACAGCAUAUGUACAAUUUAAAAAAUUGUCACGUGACUACAUUCAAAGAGAUAUGAAGAAAUGUAUCGAUGUGUUCCUGAUGUGGGGUUUCUGGUGCUUAGAUUUGUACCUUUUUUUUUUUUUUUUCUUUUUUUGCUGUUUUUCAGAGAUCAGAUAAAGUAAUGCUGCUUGGCUGUGUAUGUGGAAGAGUUAGUCUUGCAGUUCUGACACGCCUGACUUUCUUAUGUAGGAAGGAAAGGUAGGCCUCAAUUGAGCUGAAAACACAGAUGAACCUGCUAGAGAAACAGCACGUGUUAUGACCUUUUUAAUAGUUUUUCUCAAUGACAAAGAAAUCUAACAUGGUAUUUUCCUGCUACUAUCUGUUAUGAAAAAACAUCAAUUCUGGAUAAUUCCUGUGUCCUGCUGGAAGACUAUGAAGCAAAGUUGGAACUGUAUUAUCAGGACAUGCAAACAUGAGAUUCAUUGAUUGACUGAUAAAAAACAUGACUUUUUGGUCAAAAUAAUUUAUUUGCUGAGUGAUAAGGCUCGGCAUUAAAAGUGUUCCGUUUCAGAACAGGUGUGCUUAUAAUACCAAUAGGUAAAUUUGAUGCAUCAUCCAAGGAAUGCAUUGCACGAUAAUGUAACUUUCCACAUAUCUUUGAACAUAUUCCCACUUUAAUGCAUGCAUGAAUUUGCCUAGAAAAUACUUAUAUGUCUCUUGUGCCAAACAGGCGAAUAGAAUUUAAAACUAUAUCAGUUUGCUGCCCAUUCAUGGAGCCUUUCUACCACACAGAAAUAAACUUGCUACAAAAACUAUUAAAAUUUUAAAAGAAAUCUCUACAAAACGUUACGUGGCUAAUAAAUUACUUCCCAGAGGUUUUACUACUUUGUUUUAAAAAGUUGUUAUGUUUUCAUAAAUUAUGUAUAUAGUUCAGUCUGUUAGCCAGUGCUGUUUUUGGCCCUGUGCCUUUCUAACAGGUUUAUCAUUUCAGAGACUCUUAAACCAGAACCCAGUAUGAGAGCUAUGCCCAUCACUGAAAAUACAGCCCAUUGAUUGAGUUCAGCCAUCACCUGUGUCUGUCAGAGGGCCAGAGACUGCUAAAUUUUGCUCCUUCCCUUUAAAUCACAUAAACAUUGUUUCCUACACUUCACAGAGAACGUUCAUACCCCAAACACUUUUUCUUCGUCCCCUGUACAAAAAAUGGACACUCCACACACUGUAGAUAACUGCAGCAAUUAAUGGUUUUUGCAUAUAUAAAAGUGCACAGAUAAAGGACACCUCCUGUAUUUGCCAGAUUUCACAUACACCAGAUUCCCACAUAAAAACCCAACUUGUUAAAGCACUACCAUUACAGCUGCAUAGACAUCUCCCAUUUGGGAGCAGCUUACAGACCUGCUGCCCUAAACUCAGAAUUGUACAUUAAAAAAUAAUUUAAAAAAAUAGAAUAAAGCCAUCAACCUUUCUAAACUCUUGUAUAUUUUGCAAAUCUGUAGGUAUUUUUCAUAUGCUACAAAAAGCUUAUAAUUUAUGAAAAAAAAAAAAAUUGAGAGAGUUUAAUGAAAGUCCAUAGCACUCAGCAGGGCUAUGUAUUUGGGUAGCAAUAGAAGAUGCAGUCCUUUGUGUAGCAGUAACAUAUUCCGAACAGGUAAUUUUUAACUAGGGAAAACUUAUCAGACAAUUAUUGAACAAUUAACUUCUGUCAUCUACUGGAUACUCCUCUGGAUCUCAGGGUAAAUGUAACUCUAUGACAAGUCAUAUGCUUCAUAUAAGAAGCGGAAGAAGUAGUCCUACAUACUGUAGGUCUUUGAAAACUUCUGCCUCUGCAUCCAGCUCUGCCAAUCAUCUAGAAAAGGAGCUGCUCUCAGUGUUCACAGCUAGGACCAGACUUGCAUAGUAAGGUAGAGUGAAGUAUCUUAAAAAGCAGCAAGACCAACAGAAAUAUACAGAAAUCCUAAUCAUUGAAUGCUACACGCUUUUAGAUGUCUUUCUCCUUUAACAAACAGAAAACCAAGUAGGGGCUAUAUUUUCAGGCUCUCUCUAGUGACAUUUGUAUCCUCAGAGUGAAAGAUAAGUUUCUCAGACCAUCACAUGAUUCCAAGAGCAGCGAUUCGAGGGGGUGGGGUGUGUGUGCAGAAUCACAGUAUUUAGAAAACAAAUCGCAGGAAAUCAAAAUACCAAGGUGCUCAGUAAACUGGCUUAUACUCUUCCCUAGCAGUUAGUUGUGAGGGUUCCAUGUAGUCACAAAUGUAUCUAUUAAUAUUUUGGUGAUAUGUUUCUCUUAGAGGGAAGGGGGAGGCAGGGGGGGGGAAGCCAAUAGCGGGUGCCGAAUUCACCAAAUUCACCACAGAACUGAACUCCACUUCCCCCAUCUUUCUUGUACUCAAAACCCAACCUUCUUUCCAGACCCUAUUAGAGUUUUCAAAAGUGACAUUUGUUCAGUUUCUCCUUUUGCUCCUGUAAUUUAGACCACUGUACUAGAAAACAGAAAUUGACUGUUGCACAGGGAUAACAGCAAACCUUCAGUGUUCUCUAAUUUCAUCAAAUGUUGCUCAAAUAAAAGGAAUGCUGCACAUAUGCUGCAGACACUACUUUUAGUAUGUAAAUAUUGUUCCUUGGGGGACGUAUGCACUAGAGUUACACAGAACUGGUACUUUAAAAAUUGGUACAUUACUAUUCCACAUAACCAAAUAUUCUCACUUUGAUCAAAGCAAUGACAUUACGAUAACUACUUUAACAGUCAUCUCUGUUUUUAAGAAAGCCUUUCAGGUUUUCUUAAAAAACUUUUGUCUUUUCUUCCAAAGACACAAAUGCAACCAGAAACUUGUUUCAGAAGUUCCACUUGUAUCUGAACAAGAAACAGUGAAACUCCAGAGGGAUUUUAACGAAAUACAGAAAAAGCACAGCAGAGGAUUAAGUUGUCCACAGCAACAUAAACUUUCCAAAUACAAUGGUUUUAUACAGUAUGCUAUCAUUUGAUUUCUGCUUUCGAUAUAACUAGUGUUGAAUUUUAUGUGAAAUGCUAACCAACUUCCUGGGAUUGUAUCACAGCAGGCUCAGCCUGCUGUCUAUCACGAGCAAAGGAUAAUGCUUCUAGAAGCAUUACUCUCAAAGUUAUGGGCAUUUGUUCCUUCUAACUGUCACGUUUCUGCCAGCAGAACUGCAGUUCUGACAAAAAUCAAGAGUUCAUGGUUUCACUGCACUUCUAUUAGUUGAAAGCUGGAAAAAUAGCUAGCCUAGUAUGCUAGCUAUUAACUGAGGAAAAUUUGUCUUCUCUGGGGCCAUAUAGAUUUGUCUUGUCUGGGCUGAUGUAGAUAGAUGUGAAAGUGGAUGCACGGCCAGAUGACUACUGGCAAGUUGGGUUGAAUUUGCAGAUGGUUGGGUGAUUUUUAGUAGGAAGGAAGAGAUACUGAAGAUACUCAAACAUUGCAUUCUUACAUCUGGGCAAGUCUCUGAAUAUUGGCUCAAAGCGGCAUUUGUGUUUCAGUUCUGACCCAAUUUUAAAAUGAUACACUUAGGAGGAAGGGAGAGGAAGUACUCGGACAAUGAAACCUUUCCUUCCAGGUUAAUUUUAAUGUUUGGUUUUUUUUAAUCCACCUUUAUUCAACUGUCCAGUAGGAGUCCAUCUUCAAAACAAAAAAAAUCUGUUACCCACACUGGAAAUGUUUUGCAAAACUUGCACUGUUUUUCUUGUAUAACUGCAACAUGCAUACUGUUUGGGGAGAGGGGAUUAAUAUCCAGCUGUACUACAGUAUGUUUCAUUAUCUUCAUUAAAAAGUGAUUUCUGAACUA
Molecule: long non-coding RNA, 9676 nt
Organism: Strigops habroptila (Kakapo)
Lineage: Eukaryota; Metazoa; Chordata; Aves; Psittaciformes; Psittacidae
Exons: 2
Source: RefSeq, a predicted model, not a curated record